RNAcentral lists this ribosomal RNA (461 nucleotides) under uncultured bacterium. RNAcentral describes it as "bacterial SSU rRNA". It matches the Rfam family "Bacterial small subunit ribosomal RNA", at positions 28 to 490 of the family's 1533-position model. The record is from RNAcentral.
GACGAACGCUGGCGGCGUGCUUAAUACAUGCAAGUCAACUUGACUUUAGAUAGCAAUAUCGAAAAGUAGGGUGGCGCACGGGUGCGUAACGCGUAGGUAAUCUGCCCUGAGGUCUGACAUAACCCGUCGAAAGGCGGGCUAACAUCAGAUGAUAUAUAAUCACGACAUCGUGGAAAUAUCAAAUCUUCGGAGCCUUGGGAUGAGCCUGCGUCUGAUUAGGUAGUUGGCGGAGUAAUAGCCCACCAAGCCUACGAUCAGUAGCUGGUCUGAGAGGAUGAUCAGCCACACUGGAACUGAGACACGGUCCAGACUCCUACGGGAGCAGCAGUAAGGAAUAUUGCUCAAUGGGGGAAACCCUGAAGCAGCAACGCCGCGUGAAGGAUGAAAUACUUUUGUAUGUAAACUUCUGUAAGAUGGGAAAAAUAUUCUCCUCGGAGAAUUGAUUGUACCAUCAGAGUAAG